UUCAACGGCCGCGGUAUUCUAACCGUGCGAAGGUAGCGUAAUCACUUGUCUUCCAAAUAAAGACCAGUAUGAAAGGCAUCACGAGGACUAAGCUGUCUCCUUUUUCCAAUCAGUGAACCUAAUCUCCCCGUGAAGAAGCGGGAAUUAAAAUAUAAGACGAGAAGACCCUGUGGAGCUUAAAACAUUAUAACAUAUGCCCUACCCCAACUACCCCGGUAUUUAACCUAAAUGCACCCUGAUUAUAUGUUUUUGGUUGGGGUGACCGCGGAGAAAAACUUAUCCUCCGUAAUGAAAGGACUUCCCUAAGCAAUAAAUUACAACUUUAUGCAUCAAAAAAUUGACAUCAUCGACCCAAUAAAUUGAUCAAUGAACCAAGUUACCCCAGGGAUAACAGCACAAUCCACUUUGAGAGCUCCUAUCGACAAGUGGGCUUAUGACCUCGAUGUUGGAUCGGGGUAUCCUAGUGGUGCAGCCGCUACUAAAGGU
RNAcentral lists this ribosomal RNA (486 nucleotides) under Pristimantis unistrigatus (striped robber frog). RNAcentral's name for it is "partial large subunit ribosomal RNA". It matches the Rfam family "Bacterial large subunit ribosomal RNA", at positions 1923 to 2572 of the family's 2925-position model. Lineage: Eukaryota; Metazoa; Chordata; Amphibia; Anura; Strabomantidae. The record is from RNAcentral.